RNAcentral lists this ribosomal RNA (465 nucleotides) under uncultured bacterium. RNAcentral's name for it is "bacterial SSU rRNA". It matches the Rfam family "Bacterial small subunit ribosomal RNA", at positions 917 to 1382 of the family's 1533-position model. The record is from RNAcentral.
GGACCCGCACAAGCGGUGGAUGAUGUGGUUUAAUUCGAUGCAACGCGAAAAACCUUACCCACCUUUGACAUGUACGGAAUUCCGCAGAGAUGUGGAAGUGCUCGAAAGAGAGCCGUAACACAGGUGCUGCAUGGCUGUCGUCAGCUCGUGUCGUGAGAUGUUGGGUUAAGUCCCGCAACGAGCGCAACCCUUGUCAUUAGUUGCUACAUUCAGUUGGGCACUCUAAUGAGACUGCCGGUGACAAACCGGAGGAAGGUGGGGAUGACGUCAAGUCCUCAUGGCCCUUAUAGGUGGGGCUACACACGUCAUACAAUGGCCGGUACAAAGGGCUGCCAACCCGCGAGGGGGAGCCAAUCCCAUAAAACCGGUCGUAGUCCGGAUCGUAGUCUGCAACUCGACUACGUGAAGUCGGAAUCGCUAGUAAUCGUGGAUCAGAAUGUCACGGUGAAUACGUUCCCGGGUCUU